RNAcentral lists this ribosomal RNA (334 nucleotides) under uncultured eukaryote. RNAcentral's name for it is "partial 18S ribosomal RNA". It matches the Rfam family "Eukaryotic small subunit ribosomal RNA", at positions 1470 to 1796 of the family's 1831-position model. The record is from RNAcentral.
CCCUUAGAUGUCCGGGGCCGCACGCGCGCUACACUGAAGGAAUCAGCGUGGCUUUCUCCCUGACCCGAAAGGGUUGGGAAACCCGUUGAAUCCCCUUCGUGAUAGGGAUUGGGGCUUGAAAUUGUUCCCCAUGAACGAGGAAUUCCCAGUAAGCGCGAGUCAUAAGCUCGCGUUGGUUACGUCCCUGCCCUUUGUACACACCGCCCGUCGCUACUACCGAUUGAACGGUUUAGUGAGGGCCUCGGAUUGGUCUCGGCCCGCUCUUUACCGGGCGGCGCCGUUGGUCGAGAAGACGCUCGAACUUGAUCGUUUAGAGGAAGUAAAAGUCGUAACA